RNAcentral lists this ribosomal RNA (252 nucleotides) under Triticum aestivum (bread wheat). RNAcentral describes it as "partial small subunit ribosomal RNA". The record is from RNAcentral. Lineage: Eukaryota; Viridiplantae; Streptophyta; Magnoliopsida; Poales; Poaceae.
AUGCAGCUUGUCUCCUGUGGUCGAACCGCCAUUAACAUUAAUGGUGAGAUUGGCCCCUUCUUCCCCAUGCUAUGUGGGGUUCGCCAAGGCGACCCUUUAUCACCGUUCCUAUUUAACAUGGUGGUAUACACCCUUGCGGCCAUUCUUGACAAGGCCAAAUCGGCCGAUCACAUUCACGGCGUGGUCCCACAUCUAGUAGGAGGGGGUGGGGUCUCCCUCCUCCAAUAUGCCGAUGACACCAUAAUAAUGGUU